Molecule: small RNA, 1832 nt
Filed under: Pan troglodytes (chimpanzee)
Lineage: Eukaryota; Metazoa; Chordata; Mammalia; Primates; Hominidae
Description: retained intron
Source: RNAcentral
UCCCCCCAGCCUGCCCACCCCCCCUCAACCACACCGUCGUACAAGUGAACAAAAACGCCAACCCAGACCCACUGCCAAAAAAAGAGGAAGAGAAGAAGGAGGAGGAGGAAGACGACCGUGGGGAAGACGGCCCUAAGCCAAUGCCUCCCUAUAGCUCCAUGUUCAUCCUGUCCACGACCAACCCCCUUCGCCGCCUGUGCCAUUACAUCCUGAACCUGCGCUACUUUGAGAUGUGCAUCCUCAUGGUCAUUGCCAUGAGCAGCAUCGCCCUGGCCGCCGAGGACCCUGUGCAGCCCAACGCACCUCGGAACAACGUGCUGCGAUAUUUUGACUACGUUUUUACAGGCGUCUUUACCUUUGAGAUGGUGAUCAAGAUGAUUGACCUGGGGCUCGUCCUGCAUCAGGGUGCCUACUUCCGUGACCUCUGGAAUAUUCUCGACUUCAUAGUGGUCAGUGGGGCCCUGGUAGCCUUUGCCUUCACUGGCAAUAGCAAAGGAAAAGACAUCAACACGAUUAAAUCCCUCCGAGUCCUCCGGGUGCUACGACCUCUUAAAACCAUCAAGCGGCUGCCAAAGCUCAAGGCUGUGUUUGACUGUGUGGUGAACUCACUUAAAAACGUCUUCAACAUCCUCAUCGUCUACAUGCUAUUCAUGUUCAUCUUCGCCGUGGUGGCUGUGCAGCUCUUCAAGGGGAAAUUCUUCCACUGCACUGACGAGUCCAAAGAGUUUGAGAAAGAUUGUCGAGGCAAAUACCUCCUCUACGAGAAGAAUGAGGUGAAGGCGCGAGAUCGGGAGUGGAAGAAGUAUGAAUUCCAUUACGACAAUGUGCUGUGGGCUCUGCUGACCCUCUUCACCGUGUCCACGGGAGAAGGCUGGCCACAGGUCCUCAAGCAUUCGGUGGACGCCACCUUUGAGAACCAGGGCCCCAGCCCCGGGUACCGCAUGGAGAUGUCCAUUUUCUACGUCGUCUACUUUGUGGUGUUCCCCUUCUUCUUUGUCAAUAUCUUUGUGGCCUUGAUCAUCAUCACCUUCCAGGAGCAAGGGGACAAGAUGAUGGAGGAAUACAGCCUGGAGAAAAAUGAGAGGGCCUGCAUUGAUUUCGCCAUCAGCGCCAAGCCGCUGACCCGACACAUGCCGCAGAACAAGCAGAGCUUCCAGUACCGCAUGUGGCAGUUCGUGGUGUCUCCGCCUUUCGAGUACACGAUCAUGGCCAUGAUCGCCCUCAACACCAUCGUGCUUAUGAUGAAGUUCUAUGGGGCUUCAGUUGCUUAUGAAAAUGCCCUGAGGGUGUUCAACAUCGUCUUCACCUCCCUCUUCUCUCUGGAAUGUGUGCUGAAAGUCAUGGCUUUUGGGAUUCUGGUAAGUACCACCUUGGGGCUACAGCUAUGGGCUUGGGAGAAGCCCAAGGGGGAACAAUGGGUCCUGGAUGAUGGUCUCCCAACGUGGCCCCAAGAACCCCAACCUCAAGGGUGGCUUCAGUAUCCUGCCAGUGGCCACAGAUCCUACUUAGGCAUUCUUGUGUUUGCCAAGGAGUCCCAGGGAGACCCAACCUGUGAGUGUUACCAUAUGGCUGCUUAUGUAUCCAGUUCCUCAAAAUGAUGGGAGUCAUCAUGGCUGGGAGUCUUUAGCAUCCAUUUUAGAGAUAAGAAAACUGAAAUCAGGCUGGGCGAGGUGUCUCGUGGCUGUAAUUCCAGCACUUUGGGAGGCCAAGGUGGGCGGAUCACCUGAGGUCGGGAGUUCGAGACCAGCCUGACCAACAUGGAGAAACUCUGUCUCUACUAAAAAUACAAAAUUAGCCGGGCGUGGUGGCGCAUGCCUGUAAUCCCAGCUACU